Molecule: ribosomal RNA, 253 nt
Filed under: uncultured bacterium
Lineage: Bacteria
Description: partial 16S ribosomal RNA
Rfam family: Bacterial small subunit ribosomal RNA
Source: RNAcentral
UACGAAGGGGGCUAGCGUUGUUCGGAAUUACUGGGCGUAAAGGGCGCGCAGGCGGCCCUUCAAGUCAGGCGUGAAAGCCCAGAGCUCAACUCUGGAACUGCCCUUGAAACUGUAUGGCUUGAGUAUGAGAGAGGUGAGUGGAAUUCCCAGUGUAGAGGUGAAAUUCGUAGAUAUUGGGAAGAACACCGGUGGCGAAGGCGGCUCACUGGCUCAUUACUGACGCUCAGGCGCGACAGCGUGGGGAUCAAACAGG